RNAcentral lists this long non-coding RNA (1150 nucleotides) under Panax ginseng (ginseng). RNAcentral describes it as "long non-coding RNA (PGIN_LNC008506)". The record is from RNAcentral. Lineage: Eukaryota; Viridiplantae; Streptophyta; Magnoliopsida; Apiales; Araliaceae.
CCGCGGAUCCGGUUCGCUAUUUCUACAACUGUUGCGGAAGAUAUAAACAUAAAUUGUUUAUACAUUAAACUUUACACACUAUUCCCAAAAUCGAGUAACCUUAACUAAUACACAAUCGUGAACUGUCUAACACAUGACAAUACUAUUCUUCAACAUACUUUACAACUUAACUUCACAUUCUAUCCCAAGCUGAACUUGGCAUUAUCCUUUUCCUGUAUCUGGCCGUAUUCGCCUUAUCUGCAAUGUUUUAUCAUGAUAUAGCAAGGGUGAGCAUGAAAGUUGCCCAGCAAGUUUAAAAAAAACAAGGUAAAGAUAUAUCAUGAUUGAAAGAGUUUGAAUAAUAAGCUGGCUAUCCUUCACAAUGUAGUUGUGAAUUAGCAUGAACAAAAUUUCAAAGCUGAAUGAACAUUGAAAAUGAACAUAACAAUUAUAUCUGAACUGACUGGUAAUGAAGGUGAUCAGCCUUUCAUACCUGAUGAAUACAUGCAAUAUGUACAGAGUACAAUUCAUAAGCAUAUCUGUCUGAAACCACUCUUAAAAGAGUUUAAGUAAAAAGAACUUGAAAAACUUGCACCAUAAUUGGAAGUUCAAGUUUAGGAACUUGCCUGUACCGUUGAUUACCGUAACGCAAUAUAAUACGCUUCUCCUGAAGACCUAAUAUUAAUAAUAUAGAUCUCCAGUAUUAGAAUAAUAUCAUCUCAGUUAUAAAAUAACUUAAACAUAUUACCACAUAAUCUUAUCAGUCUCUUAUACACAUAAGACAUAGCUUCAAGUCAAACUAUUACAGUCCGAGUUGAAAUCGGUACAAUUCUUUCAUCCCGAUGGUCUAAUCGGACAAUUAACGAGUCUAAGUUUAAUUAAACUCUGCCUAAACACUUGACGAUAUCACAGAUAAUUUUCUUAUCAGUCUAAAUGAUUUUCAUAAGCUUGAAAUAUUUUUCAGAUAAUUAAUAUCAUUUAUCUAAAUUUUCCGAUCAUUAAUAACGUAUUUAAAUGAAUUAAAUACCACAUAAUUCUUUAAUCAUUAAUAUCUAUUUAAUAUCAAAUAUUAAUGAAAAUCAUUACAUAAUAUUAUAAUAUAAUUUAUAAUAUAUCACGGUAUUUUUAAUACCUUAAAAUCACAUUUAUAUGAUUUUUAAACACUUAAAAU